GCAAGUCGCACGAGAACGCUUUAGCUUGCUAGAGCUAGUAAAGUGGCGCACGGGUGAGUAACGCGUGGGUAAUCUACCUCCGAAUCGGGGAUAACAUUGCGAAAGCGAUGCUAAUACCGGAUAACAUCUUUUUAACUUCGGUUUAAAAGAUCAAAGGUGGCCUCUACAUGUAAGCUUUUGUUUGGAGAUGAGCCCGCGUACCAUUAGCUUGUUGGUAGGGUAACGGCCUACCAAGGCAACGAUGGUUAGCGGGUCUGAGAGGAUGAUC
This 268-nucleotide ribosomal RNA is filed under the name uncultured bacterium. Its description in RNAcentral is "partial 16S ribosomal RNA". It matches the Rfam family "Bacterial small subunit ribosomal RNA", at positions 57 to 305 of the family's 1533-position model. The record is from RNAcentral.